This is a non-coding RNA of Erythranthe guttata (spotted monkey flower), 612 nucleotides long. NCBI's taxonomy places the organism in Eukaryota, Viridiplantae, Streptophyta, Magnoliopsida, Lamiales, Phrymaceae. The record is from RefSeq and is a predicted model, not a curated record.
UUAUUUGUUAUAAAAAAGGUCAACCUUGUAGAUCGACCGAUCUCCAAAAACUAUCGGUUUGUAUUUUGAAGCUAAGCUUUCAGCAUAAAUAAAAGAAAAGUGAUAAGUAGUCGAACAAGUUGCUUGUUAUUGUAGUACGUGAGCUAGGUCAUGUUUUCUCAUCUUUUUUUUCUUUUACAGAACACUAUUGUUGACGAACGUGGCUCUUUUGCCGUGAGCAGCCCGUUUCCGGGCCCACUUUUACAAAUACUUAAAUCAAUAAGAAAGCUGCCAGCUAGGGUUGCUCUUGUUGGUGAUGUCGUGCGCCUCGAAGAUGAAAAGGCUAACUCAGCGGCUGAAAGCCUUAGGGAAACUGUAUUAGCAUACCAGAGAGAGCUGUCAAUGAGUCGAGCUAUUCCGUUUCUGGAAUAUUGAGUUCGCCCGAAGUCAAUUCCACUUCUCGGAUUGAAAAUCUCCGGGACUUAUGCCAAGGCAACGAUCAGUACUCUGUGUACAGGUUCAAUAUAAGUUCGUGCAUGUAUAUUGAUGCCAAGGGCGGAACUCAUGAAGUAAAUCUCGAGGAUAUGGAAAAGUCUAAGGCGGAUCCUUUAUGUAAGACCUAUUUUCUUUUGU